AGGAGGUUUGGAUCCUGGCUCAGAUUGAACGCUGGCGGCAUGCCUAACACAUGCAAGUCGAACGGAAACGAUGGGAGCUUGCUCCCAGGCGUCGAGUGGCGGACGGGUGAGUAAUACUUAGGAAUCUACCCAGUAGCGGGGGACAACUCGAGGAAACUCGAGCUAAUACCGCAUACGCCCUACGGGGGAAAGCAGGGGAUCUUCGGACCUUGCACUAUUGGAUGAGCCUAAGUCGGAUUAGCUUGUUGGUGAGGUAAAGGCUCACCAAGGCGACGAUCCGUAGCUGGUCUGAGAGGACGAUCAGCCACGCUGGGACUGAGACACGGCCCAGACUCCUACGGGAGGCAGCAGUGGGGAAUAUUGGACAAUGGGGGCAACCCUGAUCCAGCAAUGCCGCGUGUGUGAAGAAGGCCUGCGGGUUGUAAAGCACUUUCAGUAGAGAAGAAAAGCCUACGGUUAAUACCCGUAAGUCUUGACGUUACCUACAGAAGAAGCUCCGGCUAACUCCGUGCCAGCAGCCGCGGUAAUACGGAGGGAGCGAGCGUUAAUCGGAAUUACUGGGCGUAAAGCGCGCGUAGGCGGCUUUGUAAGUCGGAUGUGAAAGCCCUGGGCUCAACCUGGGAAUGGCAUUCGAUACUGCAGAGCUAGAGUAUGGUAGAGGGAAGUGGAAUUUCCGGUGUAGCGGUGAAAUGCGUAGAU
Molecule: ribosomal RNA, 699 nt
Filed under: uncultured bacterium
Lineage: Bacteria
Description: bacterial SSU rRNA
Rfam family: Bacterial small subunit ribosomal RNA
Source: RNAcentral